UCCCUGGAUAGCUCAGUUGGUCAGAGUGUGGUGUUGAUAACGCCAGGGUUGCAGGUUUGAUCCCUGAAUGGGAU
This 74-nucleotide transfer RNA is filed under the name Podarcis lilfordi (Lilford's wall lizard). Its description in RNAcentral is "tRNA.Ile". The stretch from base 9 to 67 matches the Rfam family "tRNA", at positions 8 to 63 of the family's 71-position model. Rfam says of the family: Transfer RNA (tRNA) molecules are approximately 80 nucleotides in length. Their secondary structure includes four short double-helical elements and three loops (D, anti-codon, and T loops). Lineage: Eukaryota; Metazoa; Chordata; Lepidosauria; Squamata; Lacertidae. The record is from RNAcentral.